GUUAUAUGGUCAAGUGAAGAAGCGCAUACGGUGGAUGCCUUGGCAGUCAGAGGCGAUGAAAGACGUGGUAGCCUGCGAAAAGCUUCGGGGAGUCGGCAAACAGACUGUGAUCCGGAGAUGUCUGAAUGGGGGAACCCAGCCAUCAUAAGAUGGUUAUCUUACACUGAAUACAUAGGUGUAAGAGGCGAACCAGGGGAACUGAAACAUCUAAGUACCCUGAGGAAAAGAAAUCAACCGAGAUUCCCUUAGUAGUGGCGAGCGAACGGGGACCAGCCCUUAAGUUGUAUUGAGAUUAGCGGAACGCUCUGGAAAGUGCGGCCAUAGUGGGUGAUAGCCCUGUACGCGAAAAUCCCUUUGCAAUGAAAUCGAGUAGGACGGGGCACGAGAAACCUUGUCUGAAUAUGGGGGGACCAUCCUCCAAGGCUAAAUACUACUGACUGACCGAUAGUGAACCAGUACCGUGAGGGAAAGGCGAAAAGAACCGCGGAGAGCGGAGUGAAAUAGAUCCUGAAACCGUAUGCGUACAAGCAGUGGGAGCCCACUUUGUUGGGUGACUGCGUACCUUUUGUAUAAUGGGUCAGCGACUUAUUUUCAGUGGCGAGCUUAACCGAAUAGGGGAGGCGUAGCGAAAGCGAGUCUUAAUAGGGCGUCUAGUCGCUGGGAAUAGACCCGAAACCGGGCGAUCUAUCCAUGGGCAGGUUGAAGGUUGGGUAACACUAACUGGAGGACCGAACCGACUACCGUUGAAAAGUUAGCGGAUGACCUGUGGAUCGGAGUGAAAGGCUAAUCAAGCUCGGAGAUAGCUGGUUCUCCUCGAAAGCUAUUUAGGUAGCGCCUCAUGUAUCACUGUAGGGGGUAGAGCACUGUUUCGGCUAGGGGGUCAUCCCGACUUACCAAACCGAUGCAAACUCCGAAUACCUACAAGUGCCGAGCAUGGGAGACACACGGCGGGUGCUAACGUCCGUCGUGAAAAGGGAAACAACCCAGACCGUCAGCUAAGGUCCCAAAGUCAUGGUUAAGUGGGAAACGAUGUGGGAAGGCUUAGACAGCUAGGAGGUUGGCUUAGAAGCAGCCACCCUUUAAAGAAAGCGUAAUAGCUCACUAGUCGAGUCGGCCUGCGCGGAAGAUGUAACGGGGCUCAAACCAUGCACCGAAGCUACGGGUAUCAUCUUAUGAUGAUGCGGUAGAGGAGCGUUCUGUAAGCCUGUGAAGGUGAGUUGAGAAGCUUGCUGGAGGUAUCAGAAGUGCGAAUGCUGACAUGAGUAACGACAAUGGGUGUGAAAAACACCCACGCCGAAAGACCAAGGUUUCCUGCGCAACGUUAAUCGACGCAGGGUUAGUCGGUCCCUAAGGCGAGGCUGAAAAGCGUAGUCGAUGGAAAACAGGUUAAUAUUCCUGUACUUCUGGUUAUUGCGAUGGAGGGACGGAGAAGGCUAGGCCAGUCUGGCGUUGGUAGUCCAGGUUUAAGGUGGUAGGCUGAGAUCUUAGGUAAAUCCGGGAUCUUAAGGCCGAGAGCUGAUGACGAGUGUUCUUUUAGAACAUGAAGUGGUUGAUGCCAUGCUUCCAAGAAAAGCUUCUAAGCUUCAGGUAACCAGGAACCGUACCCCAAACCGACACAGGUGGUUGGGUAGAGAAUACCAAGGCGCUUGAGAGAACUCGGGUGAAGGAACUAGGCAAAAUGGCACCGUAACUUCGGGAGAAGGUGCGCCGGUGAGGGUGAAGCAUUUACUGCGUAAGCCCACGCCGGUCGAAGAUACCAGGCCGCUGCGACUGUUUAUUAAAAACACAGCACUCUGCAAACACGAAAGUGGACGUAUAGGGUGUGACGCCUGCCCGGUGCCGGAAGGUUAAUUGAUGGGGUUAGCGCAAGCGAAGCUCUUGAUCGAAGCCCCGGUAAACGGCGGCCGUAACUAUAACGGUCCUAAGGUAGCGAAAUUCCUUGUCGGGUAAGUUCCGACCUGCACGAAUGGCGUAACGAUGGCGGCGCUGUCUCCACCCGAGACUCAGUGAAAUUGAAAUCGCUGUGAAGAUGCAGUGUAUCCGCGGCUAGACGGAAAGACCCCGUGAACCUUUACUAUAGCUUUGCACUGGACUUUGAAUUUGCUUGUGUAGGAUAGGUGGGAGGCUUUGAAGCGUGGACGCCAGUCUGCGUGGAGCCAACCUUGAAAUACCACCCUGGCAACUUUGAGGUUCUAACUCAGGUCCGUUAUCCGGAUCGAGGACAGUGUAUGGUGGGUAGUUUGACUGGGGCGGUCUCCUCCUAAAGAGUAACGGAGGAGUACGAAGGUGCGCUCAGACCGGUCGGAAAUCGGUCGUAGAGUAUAAAGGCAAAAGCGCGCUUGACUGCGAGACAGACACGUCGAGCAGGUACGAAAGUAGGUCUUAGUGAUCCGGUGGUUCUGUAUGGAAGGGCCAUCGCUCAACGGAUAAAAGGUACUCCGGGGAUAACAGGCUGAUACCGCCCAAGAGUUCAUAUCGACGGCGGUGUUUGGCACCUCGAUGUCGGCUCAUCACAUCCUGGGGCUGAAGCCGGUCCCAAGGGUAUGGCUGUUCGCCAUUUAAAGUGGUACGCGAGCUGGGUUUAGAACGUCGUGAGACAGUUCGGUCCCUAUCUGCCGUGGACGUUUGAGAUUUGAGAGGGGCUGCUCCUAGUACGAGAGGACCGGAGUGGACGAACCUCUGGUGUUCCGGUUGUCACGCCAGUGGCAUUGCCGGGUAGCUAUGUUCGGAAAAGAUAACCGCUGAAAGCAUCUAAGCGGGAAACUUGCCUCAAGAUGAGAUCUCACUGGAACCUUGAGUUCCCUGAAGGGCCGUCGAAGACUACGACGUUGAUAGGUUGGGUGUGUAAGCGCUGUGAGGCGUUGAGCUAACCAAUACUAAUUGCCCGUGAGGCUUGACCAUAUAACACCCAAGCAAUU
Molecule: ribosomal RNA, 2918 nt
Filed under: Pseudomonas avellanae
Lineage: Bacteria; Pseudomonadati; Pseudomonadota; Gammaproteobacteria; Pseudomonadales; Pseudomonadaceae
Description: bacterial LSU rRNA
Rfam family: Bacterial large subunit ribosomal RNA
Source: RNAcentral